GACGAACGCUGGCGGCGUGCCUAAUACAUGCAAGUUGAGCGCUGAAGGUUGGUACUUGUACCAACUGGAUGAGCCGAGAACGGGUGAGUAACGCGUGUGGCAUCUGCCUUUGAGCGGGAUACCACCUUUGGAAUCGAGUGCUUAUACCGCAUAAAAACUUUCUACACAAGGUUUAAGUGUGAAAGAUGCCAUUGCAUCACUCAAUGAUGAUCCCGCGUUGUAUUAGCUAGUUGGUGAGGUAAAGGCUCAUCAAGGCGAUGAUACAUAGCCGACCUGAGCGGGUGGUCGGCCACACUGGGACGGUGACCCGCCCCAAAGUCCUACGGGUGGCAGCAGUAGGGAUUCGUCGGCAAUGGACGGAAGUCUGUCCGAGCAACGCCGCGGGAGUGAAGAGGGUCUCCGGAUCGUAAAUCUCGGUUGGUAGAUAAGAACGUUGGUGAGAGUGGAAAGCUCAGCAAGUGACGGUAACUAGCCAGAAAGGGACGGCUAACUACGUG
RNAcentral lists this ribosomal RNA (497 nucleotides) under uncultured bacterium. Its description in RNAcentral is "partial 16S ribosomal RNA". It matches the Rfam family "Bacterial small subunit ribosomal RNA", at positions 28 to 507 of the family's 1533-position model. The record is from RNAcentral.